Molecule: long non-coding RNA, 236 nt
Filed under: Elaeis guineensis (African oil palm)
Lineage: Eukaryota; Viridiplantae; Streptophyta; Magnoliopsida; Arecales; Arecaceae
Description: long non-coding RNA (EGUI_LNC019941)
Source: RNAcentral
UCUAUGAGGGCAGCACCGAUCAUCCCCUCCUCUUGCGGUUGCCCCUGGAACAUUCCUGUACUCUAAUAAUGAAUGUCACGGUCAAUGUUACCCUGAUCAAAGGUAUUUCGAGUACAGUAAAGAGAAAGAAAGAGUUUGGAUUGAUAGCAAGGAGGAAGAAAGAAGAUUUGGGGGUGUGAAUUUAGAUAGUUCAGAGAGAAGAGGGAGAGAUCUGGGAGGUAGAUCUGGGGGAGAGA